Long non-coding RNA from Stegodyphus dumicola, 339 nucleotides. The record is from RefSeq and is a predicted model, not a curated record. Lineage: Eukaryota; Metazoa; Arthropoda; Arachnida; Araneae; Eresidae.
CUCGCUUUCAAAUCGUAGAUCUUGUUAAUCAAAAAUUCGCAGAUUAAAAAUCAAUAACCAGGAUGAGUAAGAAGGAAACGAAAGGCACAUUACUAAAUUUCGUGCAAAGAAAGGAUUCUCCAGAACCAAGUACGUCGUUCGCCCAUUCGAAUUCAGAUGAAGGAACUUGUGAAUGAGAAAAACAAAAAGUCGAAGUUAGGAGAAGGAGGAAUGGCAUCAUCAGCGGGACUUAACAGCAGCUCCUGUUGUACCUGGUAACAACGGUAUUUUCUCCGAAAAUUUUCUCUUUGCUGUUGAAUACUAAGUAAUAUUUCAUGAAAUUUACGGAGGCAGGUGCCA